AGGCUAGGGCCUGGACUCNGCGGAAUGCAUCUAGACCAUGGCUNUANGUCAGCUCGUGUUGUGAAAUGUUGGGUUAAGUCCCGCAACGAGCGCAACCCUCGCCUUUAGUUGCCAGCAUUUAGUUGGGUACUCUAAAGGAACCGCCGGUGAUAAGCCGGAGGAAGGUGGGGAUGACGUCAAGUCCUCAUGGCCCUUACGCGUUGGGCUACACACGUGCUACAAUGGCGACUACAGUGGGCAGCCACCUCGCGAGAGGGAGCUAAUCUCCAAAAGUCGUCUCAGUUCGGAUCGUUCUCUGCAACUCGAGAGCGUGAAGGCGGAAUCGCUAGUAAUCGCGGAUCAGCAUGCCGCGGUGAAUACGUUCCCAGGCCUUGUACACACCGGGCCUAAAUNNCGGGAUCCCCGGGCCCGUACGACCUGCAGAGGCCUGUAAUCACCAGGGGUUAUUCCCAAACACGCAAACUCCACNGGGGAGAUAAACCGNCNUGUGCAAACGACAACAUGNUGAAGCCAAAAGGGCCNGCCAAACAGGGGCCACGGAAAACCCGUNAAGAACAGGGCCCGAAUGAUUAG
RNAcentral lists this ribosomal RNA (573 nucleotides) under uncultured Sphingobium sp. Its description in RNAcentral is "bacterial SSU rRNA". The stretch from base 1 to 378 matches the Rfam family "Bacterial small subunit ribosomal RNA", at positions 999 to 1387 of the family's 1533-position model. The record is from RNAcentral. Lineage: Bacteria; Pseudomonadati; Pseudomonadota; Alphaproteobacteria; Sphingomonadales; Sphingobiaceae.